UGCAAGCACUCAGACACACGUAUGGAUGCAUGCAGGCUGUCAGACGGAGUGUGUAGGUUUUCUGAGAUGUGGCAGCGAGCGGGUGAGUUUUCACACUAAUGGUGGAGCGUCCUGCAUUUGGCACCUUUUUAACUUUGCAGCUCUCAGCUGGGAGAGACAGGCGAGAGGACAACAACAAAAGAGAUGAGGAAACACUAUCUGGACUAACUUUACAAGACUCCGUGUGAUGCACCAAGCUUGUGACAUGACGCUCUGGGCAGUCACAUGACGGUUCACCGCUGACUCGUCUCGCUUGAAGACAGCUGGAGGACAGAGUAUAGGUAAGCGUUGCAAGUCAUGUUUCGCUUUUUUUCUUCUCUUUAAAACCUUCCUCAUUGGUUUAAAACAUGUAUAAACUAUAAUAAAUGUUUUAACCAAUGGUUUAUAUUUACAUUUAUUUAUUUUAUUUUCUCGGGCUUUGAAUUUCGCUGCCACGUGCAACUUUUCUGCCAACGCAUUACAGGAUUGCUACUGUUCUCAGUAAUGCUUCAGUGUGUGGUACUCAAAACAUGGGCUAACACAAAAGGGAGUGCUGCACAGCUCUCAUGUACUCGGCCCUGUAACAUGGCUGGGAGGAUGUGGGACUGGUAUACCAGUAUCCUUCCUCACAUAAGGCAGAGGUGUAAACUGAUGAAAUGCCAGCCUGCCCUUCCACUUUGUCAAUGAUUCAUCCAUGGAGAGGAACAAAAACAUGCUGAAAGGAGUGUUAUUCACUUACGGACCUUGCAAGUGCCACCUGGACCUGCUACCCUGGGAAGUGGUUUGAGGAACUUCAGAGGGGAAAUGCCUGGCUGUCUGAGGCAGGACGGCCCCUGAACUGUGCUCCUCAAGCAGCCCUCUCAUCAGGCUGAUCCUGAAUUGCAGGGAAUCAGUGGAGUGCCCUAUCAAUAGUAAGGGGCCAGUAAGGACAUGACAACGGACCCAGAGAUCCCAAGUCCCUCGUAUUGGUGGAUGUCAGUGGUGGAUCCAGUGUAACCACUUUCCUUUCACUCCAGGUGGUGUUUUUGCCAGCUGUUCUGCGGAAUAGUGGUUUGUUUCCUGAUCUCCUAGGCAUUAGACCUCUGUGGGAGAUGCAGGUGGGGUCUGACUUUGAGGUCCAGGAGGGGUAAAAUUGCUGAUUGUUUACAUUGCAAUGCAGACUUCAGUGUCCAGAGCAUGUCAACAUAAUAUUUGUUUUCAUGUGAAUAAAACAUUACGUUUGAAAGGUGAUCGUUUUUCUCAGUUAUUUUUGCUGCUGUCAUAUGAUUUGCGCUGUAAACUUGUAUUCUAAUACCUCUGUGUUUAUUUGAAUGCCUGUUACAAACAUUUAUUUUAUCAUGUGUUUGAAAAGACUGAGCAGCUAUUUUAGCUAUUUUUGAAUUCUGUGUUUGUCUGAAUGUUCGUAACA
This is a long non-coding RNA of Myxocyprinus asiaticus (Chinese sucker), 1426 nucleotides long. RefSeq lists it as uncharacterized. The record is from RefSeq and is a predicted model, not a curated record. The transcript has 7 exons. NCBI's taxonomy places the organism in Eukaryota, Metazoa, Chordata, Actinopteri, Cypriniformes, Catostomidae.